Molecule: long non-coding RNA, 717 nt
Organism: Mauremys reevesii (Reeves's turtle)
Lineage: Eukaryota; Metazoa; Chordata; Testudines; Geoemydidae
Exons: 3
Source: RefSeq, a predicted model, not a curated record
CGUGCACUGGAGCGCCGCUACCAUGGUGAUUCACAAGGACCUGACUCAGGACCCAGAUCCAGAUGAAACCAACUGGACUACUCGCAUACUUAAAGUUAAGCAUGUUCUUGAGUAUUUUGCUGGACAGAGGCCCAGGAAUGCCUAGUGGCCCAACCAAGAUUGGGGCUCCACUGGGGAAAAACAGUCCCUGCACUGACAAGGAAAGCAGACAAGACAAAGUGGGGAGACAGAGGUGAAGUGAUUUGCCCAAGGUCACACAGAAGGUCAAUGACAGAUCCACCCAGUCCAAUACCUGAUCCAUGAGGCCACACUGCCUCCAACCCUGCAAUGCAAGAGGGAACAGUGGAAACCAGCUGUAGAAAAACGGACAGGGAAGAUGCUCAUAAAAAUUCCCAGAAAUCUGAAAAGUCGACAUCUGUGGGGCCUAAUCUUGCUGCUACCAAAAUAGCUGGACUACACUAGGAGCAGGAACAGGCCCUCGAUCGCUUCUAAAAUAAUCAUUUGGGAUCAGAGAGUGCAAUCGCAUAAAUAUCAGCCUUAAUUGGACUUCCUGGGCAUGACAUUUACCAACAGGACUUAACCUUUUAACAGAGCUCAUGCAAGCGAUUAUUGUUUAACAUAUUUAGUGCCAUUUAGCCAUUGCCAUCGAAUGAUGAUAAGAUUAGUCAUGACAGUUCCAACAAAAAAUAUGUUAACAUAGUGCGUUUAGAGCUCCAC